AUUAGUAGUAGUUAAGUUCUUGAAAAUUAAAAGAUUUGGCGGUAUUUUAGACUUUUCAGAGGAACUUGUUUUGUAAUUGAUAAUCCACGAUUUAAAUUACUUUUUUUUUAAGUUUAUAUAUCGUUGUUAUUGAAAAUUUUAUUUAAAAGAUAAUUAAUUUUCAAAAUUUUAAAUUAAAAAGUAAAUCAGAUCAAGAUGUAGUUAAUAAGAAAGUAAUAAUGAGUUACAUUUAUUUUAUAUAAAGAUAUUUAUUUUUAAAAUAAAUUGAAUUUGGAUUUGAAAGUAAUUUAAAUUAAUUAAUUUAAAUGAUUUAGCUCUAAAAUAUGUACACAUC
Molecule: ribosomal RNA, 334 nt
Filed under: Lema delicatula
Lineage: Eukaryota; Metazoa; Arthropoda; Insecta; Coleoptera; Chrysomelidae
Description: partial 12S rRNA
Source: RNAcentral